Molecule: ribosomal RNA, 253 nt
Filed under: uncultured bacterium
Lineage: Bacteria
Description: partial 16S ribosomal RNA
Rfam family: Bacterial small subunit ribosomal RNA
Source: RNAcentral
UACAGAGGUGGCAAGCGUUGUUCGGAAUUACUGGGCGUAAAGGGCGCGUAGGCGGUCUUGUAAGUCUCGUGUGAAAUCCCUCGGCUUAACUGAGGAACUGCACGGGAUACUGCUUGACUUGAGUUCGGGAGAGGGAAGCGGAAUUCCGGGUGUAGCGGUGAAAUGCGUAGAUAUCAGGAGGAACACCAAUGGCGAAGGCAGCACUCUGGGACGUGACUGACGCUGAGACGCGAAAGCGUGGGGAGCAAACAGG